RNAcentral lists this ribosomal RNA (253 nucleotides) under uncultured bacterium. RNAcentral describes it as "partial 16S ribosomal RNA". It matches the Rfam family "Bacterial small subunit ribosomal RNA", at positions 524 to 776 of the family's 1533-position model. The record is from RNAcentral.
UACGGGGGGGGCAAGCGUUGUUCGGAAUUACUGGGCGUAAAGGGCGCGUAGGCGGCCUUCUAAGUCGGACGUGAAAUCCCUCGGCUUAACCGAGGAACUGCGUCCGAUACUGAAAGGCUUGAAUCCGGGAGAGGGAUGUGGAAUUCCAGGUGUAGCGGUGAAAUGCGUAGAUAUCUGGAGGAACACCGGUGGCGAAGGCGGCAUCCUGGACCGGUAUUGACGCUGAGGCGCGAAAGCGUGGGGAGCAAACAGG